CUAUUUCACUGGUCCCUACGUCUCUCCUUACAUUAGUAAGUUUUGAUUACUAUAGCUUAGAAGUAAAUACUGAAAUUGCAAAGUGAAUCUUUCAGCUUUGUUUUUCCUUUUCAAUAUUGUUUUGGCUAUUUGGGGCUUGUGAAAUUCCAUAUGAUUUUGAGGAUCAGCUUUUCCAAUUUGCAAAGGAAGACUGUGAAUUUUAACAGGAAUUGCACUGAAUCUGUACAUUACUUUGGGAAAUGUUGCUAUCUUACCAAAAAUUCCCCAAAAUUCAUAUGUUGAAGCCUUUAACUCAUUGUGUGACUGUAUUUGGAGAUGGUGCCUGUAAGGAAUCCCUUAAAGUUAAAUGAAGGCAUAAGGGUGGGGCCCUAAUCCAAUUGGAAUAAUGUUCUUAUAAAAAGAGGAAGAGACACCAAGAAAGCACACAUCCAGAGAAAAGGCCUUAUGAGGAUACUGCAAGAAGAUGACCAUCUGCACAUCAAGGAGAAAGACCUUAGGAAAAAUCUGCCAACACUCUGACCUUGGAUAUUCAGCCUCUAGAACUGAAAGAAAUGAAUUUGUUUCUUAAGCCAACCAGUCUGUAGUAUUUUUCUAUGGUAGCCCUUGUAAAGUUGCUCCCACUGGUGAUGGUAAGAAAAGAGGCUACAAGGCAAAUGGAUCCGAGAUGAACUUUAUUGCAAGCACCCUUGGGCGAGGUUCUGUGACUCACAGAAAGAGGGGGGAGGGGGAUAGUGAGUCGGGGGAGUCGCGCUGGGAGGGAGUUGGCGAGGUUCUUUUAUCGGACUGAGGUAGGGCAUAGCCUUGCGCCCACUGGGUAUGUGGUGAUCGGAGGGUAUGGGGCGGGGGUGGUCCGUGAUGGCCAGUUCCCAAUUUGGAAGCUCCUGGGUGGAGAGUUUCAGUCUCCCGACGGUGACGUGGAGGCCACAGUGAGGGUGGCGGGAUACUGAAACCCUCCACCCAGGUGCU
Lutra lutra (Eurasian river otter) is the source of this 966-nucleotide long non-coding RNA. RefSeq lists it as uncharacterized. Lineage: Eukaryota; Metazoa; Chordata; Mammalia; Carnivora; Mustelidae. The transcript has 4 exons. The record is from RefSeq and is a predicted model, not a curated record.